ACCUUAUCAUCUCUGUGGAUGUCUCUGGAAAGGAGGCUGCCAGGGUUUCUGCCACACUUCUUGGUAUCUUUGGGGGGAAAUGGUAAAUUAAAUUCAAUGAGGGAUUUGAAUAGCUCAGGAGACAAUUUCUGAUCAGACCACCACCUUUGCUCUUUCAAGAUAGAGAGAGAUCAACUGCCUCCCACCUGGAAUCUCUCUUCCCUCAAGAUUCCAAGCCUCCUCAACCAUUGCCCACUGUGGAUGGAAACCUUUGCAUAUCUUCCAGGCUCUGUCCUUCACAGUCUCUGGAUUAUUCCUCUAUCACAAUGAGGAAACUGAGGCCCAGAAAGAUUGUGACUGUACUAAAUCCAUACAGGGACUUGAACUUGGUUCCUUUGACUUCAAGGCAAGUGUCCUCUUUUCUGUGGGUCAGUAUAUCUAUCAUCAUCACCACCUCAUCAUCAAGAUAAAAUUUACAUGCUACAUUGAGGUUUAUAGAAUCCUUCUCAUAUAACAAAACAUGAUCAUCAUCACAUUCCCUGCAGCCUUCCCUUUGCCCCUCUCAGAGAACCAUCCCAUGAACAAGACACAGCUUUUGGAGAGAGGAAUAAGUCAGUAGAACUGAUUGAUAUAUUUUUUUAAAAGUCUGAAAAUGGGUACAAUGUAUAACAUCUGUCAACCUCCUACCUCCAAGUAGGGGGAUGAUGUGGUUAUCUUCAGAUCUCUUUAUUUGAG
This 714-nucleotide long non-coding RNA is filed under the name Monodelphis domestica (gray short-tailed opossum). RNAcentral's name for it is "lncRNA (ENSMODG00000043299.1)". The record is from RNAcentral. Lineage: Eukaryota; Metazoa; Chordata; Mammalia; Didelphimorphia; Didelphidae.